This 554-nucleotide ribosomal RNA is filed under the name Debaryomyces maramus. RNAcentral describes it as "eukaryotic LSU rRNA". It matches the Rfam family "Eukaryotic large subunit ribosomal RNA", at positions 80 to 649 of the family's 3401-position model. The record is from RNAcentral. Lineage: Eukaryota; Fungi; Ascomycota; Pichiomycetes; Serinales; Debaryomycetaceae.
UUAGCUACGGCGAGUGAAGCGGCAAAAGCUCAAAUUUGAAAUCUGGCACCUUCGGUGUCCGAUUUGUAUUUUGAAGAAGGUAACUUUGGAGUUGGCUCUUGUCUAUGUUCCUUGGAACAGGACGUCACAGAGGGUGACAAUCCCGUGCGAUGACAUGCCCAAUUCUAUGUAAAGUGCUUUCGAAGAGUCGAGUUGUUUGGGAAUGCAGCUCUAAAUGGGUGGUAAAUUCCAUCUAAAGCUAAAUAUUGACAACAGACCGAUAGCGAACAAGUACAGUGAUGGAAAGAUGAAAAGAACUUUGAAAAGAGAGUGAAAAAGUACGUGAAAUUGUUGAAAGGGAAGGGCUUGAGAUCAGACUUGGUAUUUUGCGAUCCUUUCCUUUUUGGUUGGGUUCUCCGCAGCUUACUGGGCCACCAUCCGUUUGGACGGAAAGAUAAUGAUUAAAGAAUGUGCCUCUGCUUCGGUGGAGUGUUAUAGCCUUGGUUGAUGCUGCCUGUCUAGACCGAGGACUGCGUCUUUUGACUAGGAUGUUGGCAUAAUGAUCUUAACCCACC